Apis laboriosa (Himalayan honeybee) is the source of this 557-nucleotide long non-coding RNA. RefSeq lists it as uncharacterized. The record is from RefSeq and is a predicted model, not a curated record. The transcript is spliced from 4 exons. Lineage: Eukaryota; Metazoa; Arthropoda; Insecta; Hymenoptera; Apidae.
UUAUUUUAGACAGGAAAAAAAGGAUUUUCGAUAUGAACAGCAUGAUAACAGUUUAUAUUUUAUGGAGAUAUGGAAAGGUAAAAUUAUCUGUAUCGGGAAAAUAGAUAUAUUAUUAUGGCUAUGGUAUCACAAUAUUUACUUCGUUAUGAUAUUUUCCGUUUUUUUGUAUUAUCUUUAAUAAUAUUUAAUGACAAUAAUUGCAAAAUUAGAAUCAGUGCUUGUUCAUCGAUUGAAGAAGGAUAGAGUAAGUGCUUCACUCAAGAGAAUAAAGCAAUAAUUGAUCACGCGAAAAGUAUGAAAUUCUGUACGAAUGAUUACUUCACGAUGCAGAGCAAUGCAGAUUCUUCGCAUCUAAUGGUAAAUUGCAUGCAUUUCGGUUCUUCUGCUCACUCAAUCAUGUCGUAGAACGAAAAUUCCAAAUCGACACGAAUUGAUUGGUUGUAUUACGAAUUUUUCAUGAGCAUAAUGAUCGCGGAUAUUUAUUACAUCCAUUAGUAGUAACAUUCUUUUUUUUUUUGUUUAUUAUCUCAGGCUAAGUUUUCUUGUACAUUGCUUUA